AAAAGAAACUAACAAGGAUUCCCCUAGUAGCGGCGAGCGAAGCGGGAAGAGCUCAAAUUUAUAAUCUGGCACUUUCAGUGUCCGAGUUGUAAUCUCUAGAAGUGUUUUCCGCAUUGGACCGCACACAAGUCUGUUGGAAUACAGCGGCACAGUGGUGAGACCCCCGUAUACGGUGCGGAUGCCCAAUGCUUUGUGAUACACUUUCGAAGAGUCGAGUUGUUUGGGAAUGCAGCUCAAAUUGGGUGGUAAAUUCCAUCUAAAGCUAAAUAUUGGCGAGAGACCGAUAGCGAACAAGUACCGUGAGGGAAAGAUGAAAAGCACUUUGGAAAGAGAGUUAACAGUACGUGAAAUUGUUGGAAGGGAAACGCUUGAAGUCAGACUUGCUAUUCGGGGCUUGCUCCGAGUUGCAGGCCAGCAUCAGUUUUCUGGGGUGGAAAAUCACGGUUAGAAGGUAGCAACUUCGGUUGUGUUAUAGCUUUCCGUUGGAUACAUCCUGGGGGACUGAGGAACGCAGUGUGCUUUUAGCAGGAGCUUCGGCUUCAUCACACUUAGGAUGCUGGUGGAAUGGCUUUAAACGACCCGU
This 583-nucleotide ribosomal RNA is filed under the name Agaricostilbomycetes sp. TY-241. RNAcentral describes it as "eukaryotic LSU rRNA". It matches the Rfam family "Eukaryotic large subunit ribosomal RNA", at positions 57 to 652 of the family's 3401-position model. The record is from RNAcentral. Lineage: Eukaryota; Fungi; Basidiomycota; Agaricostilbomycetes.